ACAUUCUCCCUCGACCGGACACUCAUCAGUCUGGCUCCUUUUUCUGAACGAUUGAGAUGGCUUCUCAGAAAAUCUUCUAUGUAGUCAAAAUGAUUUUUCUAUUUUUAUGCGUUUUGAUUUCAGUGUGUGACCUGGCUGAAGUUUCGCCUGAACAGUCAAAGACGGUGGAGUUCAACGUGAAGCCGGGAGGAGUGCUGCACACUUUCACUGAGGGAAUUAAGGAGUACGAGUGCUCAUUCACUUACGCCUCACAAGGGGGAACCAAUGAGCAAUGGCUAAUGAGUGUGGGCUUGAGUGUUGAUGACAGGCUGUUCUCUUGCUCUGUGUGGAGGCCUCAGGGGAAAUCAUACCUGUUUUUCACUCAGUUCAAAGCAGAGCUGAAGGGAGUCAAAAUUGAAUAUGCCAACGCGUUUUCACAGGCAGCAGCAGGAGGACAGAAUGACAUACCUUUGAAGCCAGAGGAAUUUACUGUAGGAGAAUCAACAGUGACCCACAACGAUGGAAAGUUCAGCGCUCAGCUCUCUAAACUGAUCAUCAUUGGACGUACACGACAUGAUGAGCUGUAAUUGGUCAGAAGUCAGGUUCACCUUUGACCACUCACAACACUUUGGGGAACUUUCUGCUCAGUAGUCAAUAAAGUAUGGAUUUCUUCUGGAGUGAUGAGCCAAAAGAAGGAUGAUGGUGAUAUUGGCUUGUGGGCACAUUGUAUGGCAGUAAUUAUCUGGUCUAUUUUUCUUUUUCUUUUUUUUUUAUUUUACCAAGAAGGAUUUAUUCUGUUUGGCAUAAAAGGGGAAAACACAACAACACAUCUGUUGAGUAUCCAGAUUUCUGUCCUAGAUAAAAUUUUGCCCUAAGAUAAAGUGCUUCUAUGGUUGUUUCUUAGUUUCUGAGGCUUUACUCCAAAUAAUUCUGUUCUGAUCCAAUGGGUAUGUAAAUUAAUGUAUAGAGGAUUGGUGUCUGGGGGCUUGCCCAGUAUAGAUGGCACAUUUAGACUAGUGGGGGAUUUAUCCAUCUCGUGUAAUCCUAAGAGGAAAGUGAGUAAUCCUCCAGUAUCAUGAUGGUGCACACAUAAACGAGUAGAAAUUCCUCAGCCUCGUUUUGAGCUGAGCUGAUGUUAAAAGCAGUGCCCCAGUGUUCGAAGAUAUAGCAAGGAUUUCACAGUUUUUUGGGGGUCUUUUUGUUUGUUUUUUUUUUUUCUUUGCAUUUUUAAUUUUAUAUCUUAGAUUAUCUCAAUUUUUAAUUGAAAAAAAAUCUUGAUUCUUCUAAUUGGGUGCAUAUAAACUUUGCUGUUUUUUUAAAAGCUUAUUUUAUAGAUUUACACCAUUAAACCCAAAAUACCGACACAUAAAAUGUCCACAGACAUUUGGCUGGUAAUACAUAAGACAAAGAAAUGCUUGCACACAUUCCCAAGACUCCCUUGAACCCUUUUGCUUUCAUCUAUCAGUGCCACAUGUGGGGAUCAGUGAGAAUAUUGUGCAGGUUUCAGAAGUGCUUCAUUAUCACUUGUCCCCCCUCCCCUCUGUGCUCUGCCUGCUCUCUUGUGUUGCGAGCAUGGCUCUUUUAUCUCUCUGACACUGAUCAAGCCCUCUAACAGCACAAAUGUCCAAGAAUUAAAUUCAGAUUUGAGGGCUUUGCUUAUAUGAUUUAGCGGUUGCAUUACUUGGGAUAUGUGUACCUUGUUUAGUCUUUGUUCAGUGUCUGCCAUCUUUCUUGAGGCGAUGAAGCUGAAGAAAUGCUCUGCAGCGUCAGUCCCCUUUGUUCCAUCAAGGCAUCAUCAGAGGUCACAAGAAGAAAUGAUCACAUCCAGAUUCUGACCUGAUCUAGAGAGAACACACACUCUGUUACUUAUUUUGUAAAAGUUUUCUUUUUCUACCUGUUGAUUUCUAUGAUUCAUGGUGAAAUGUGAUGGGUGUUUCAUUAAAGAUAUGUUGGCACUGCCA
This is an RNA transcript of Melanotaenia boesemani (Boeseman's rainbowfish), 1940 nucleotides long. It is a transcript of the gene named myeloid-derived growth factor, with no coding region annotated. Lineage: Eukaryota; Metazoa; Chordata; Actinopteri; Atheriniformes; Melanotaeniidae. The record is from RefSeq and is a predicted model, not a curated record. The transcript has 7 exons.